This 471-nucleotide ribosomal RNA is filed under the name uncultured Streptococcus sp. Its description in RNAcentral is "bacterial SSU rRNA". It matches the Rfam family "Bacterial small subunit ribosomal RNA", at positions 910 to 1382 of the family's 1533-position model. Lineage: Bacteria; Bacillati; Bacillota; Bacilli; Lactobacillales; Streptococcaceae. The record is from RNAcentral.
UUGACGGGGCCCGCACAAGCGGUGGAGCAUGUGGUUAAUUCGACGCAACGCGAAGAACCUUACCAGGGCUUGACAUCCCCUGACCGCGUAUGAAAGUACGUUUUCACCCUCGGGUGACAGGGAGACAGGUGGUGCAUGGUUGUCGUCAGCUCGUGUCGUGAGAUGUUGGGUUAAGUCCCGCAACGAGCGCAACCCCUAUUGUUAGUUGCCAUCAUUCAGUUGGGCACUCUAGCGAGACUGCCGGUAAUAAACCGGAGGAAGGUGGGGAUGACGUCAAAUCAUCAUGCCCCUUAUGACCUGGGCUACACACGUGCUACAAUGGUUGGUACAACGAGUUGCGAGUCGGUGACGGCGAGCUAAUCUCUUAAAGCCAAUCUCAGUUCGGAUUGUAGGCUGCAACUCGCCUACAUGAAGUCGGAAUCGCUAGUAAUCGCGGAUCAGCACGCCGCGGUGAAUACGUUCCCGGGCCUU